Molecule: ribosomal RNA, 594 nt
Filed under: uncultured bacterium
Lineage: Bacteria
Description: partial 16S ribosomal RNA
Rfam family: Bacterial small subunit ribosomal RNA
Source: RNAcentral
UGGGGAAUUUUGGACAAUGGGCGAAAGCCUGAUCCAGCAAUGCCGCGUGUGUGAAGAAGGCCUUCGGGUUGUAAAGCACUUUUGUCCGGAAAGAAAUCCUUGGCUCUAAUACAGUCGGGGGAUGACGGUACCGGAAGAAUAAGCACCGGCUAACUACGUGCCAGCAGCCGCGGUAAUACGUAGGGUGCAAGCGUUAAUCGGAAUUACUGGGCGUAAAGCGUGCGCAGGCGGUUUGCUAAGACCGAUGUGAAAUCCCCGGGCUCAACCUGGGAACUGCAUUGGUGACUGGCAGGCUAGAGUAUGGCAGAGGGGGGUAGAAUUCCACGUGUAGCAGUGAAAAUGCGUAGAGAUGUGGAGGAAUACCGAUGGCGAAGGCAGCCCCCUGGGCCAAAUACUGACGCUCAUGCACGAAAAGCGUGGGGAGCAAAACAGGAUUAGAUACCCUGGUAGUCCACGCCCUAAAACGAUGUCAACUAGUUGUUGGGGACUCAUUUCCUUAGUAACGUAGCUAACGCGUGAAGUUGACCGCCUGGGGAGUAACGGUCGCAAGAUUAAAAACUCAAAAGGAAUUGACGGGGGUCAUAGCUGUUUCCU